This 652-nucleotide unclassified non-coding RNA is filed under the name uncultured Prochlorococcus sp. RNAcentral's name for it is "partial 16S-23S ribosomal RNA intergenic spacer; may also contain 16S ribosomal RNA and 23S ribosomal RNA". The stretch from base 301 to 373 matches the Rfam family "tRNA". The record is from RNAcentral. Lineage: Bacteria; Bacillati; Cyanobacteriota; Cyanophyceae; Synechococcales; Prochlorococcaceae.
UUGUGGAGGAGGACGCCGAAGGUGGGGCUAAUGACUGGGGUGAAGUCGUAACAAGGUAGCCGUACCGGAAGGUGCGGCUGGAUCACCUCCUAACAGGGAGACAACAAAAUGUAAAUAUUAAUUUUGUCACCUUAGGUCGAUCGGUAUCUCAGAUUCUUUUUUUAAGAAUUUCAGUUUCUAAGUUUUUUCUAGGUCACACCCAUCACUUUUUCCUGGGCCAUUAGCUCAGGUGGUUAGAGCGCACCCCUGAUAAGGGUGAGGUCCCUGGUUCAAGUCCAGGAUGGCCCAUAUCUCUAUGUUGGGGGUAUAGCUCAGUUGGUAGAGCGCCUGCUUUGCAAGCAGGAUGUCAGCGGUUCGAGUCCGCUUACCUCCACUGAAUACCACCUCUUACAUAUAUUUAAAGUGGGAAAUUGUUUUGAUUUGUGUCCUAAUUUGCUCUGAGCGAAUCUAGCUUCCUAUUUAUUCAAUAAAUAAGAUGCUGGACUCAUUGAAUUUUUAUUCUUUGUUUUCAGAGAACCUUGACAACUGCAUAGAUUAUUUUUGAAGACAAUAAGCAUCUUUAAUGAUGCAGAUUUAUUAUUUGUGCGAAUGCAUUAAAUAACAAUUCUAUUAAGCUGAUGCUUCAAUUAUGAAGUUAUUGGUCAAGCUACAA